RNAcentral lists this ribosomal RNA (400 nucleotides) under uncultured bacterium. Its description in RNAcentral is "bacterial SSU rRNA". It matches the Rfam family "Bacterial small subunit ribosomal RNA", at positions 355 to 772 of the family's 1533-position model. The record is from RNAcentral.
UGGGGAAUAUUGGACAAUGGGGGCAACCCUGAUCCAGCAAUGCCGCGUGAGUGAAGAAGGCCUUCGGGUUGUAAAGCUCUUUUGUUAGGGACGAUGAUGACGGUACCUAACGAAUAAGCCCCGGCUAACUUCGUGCCAGCAGCCGCGGUAAUACGAAGGGGGCUAGCGUUGUUCGGAAUGACUGGGCGUAAAGGGCGCGUAGGCGGUUCUAUAAGUUUGGUGUGAAAGUCCUGGGCUUAACCUGGGGACGGCAUUGGAUACUGUAGGGCUAGAGGCUAAGAGAGGGAAAUGGAAUUGCGUGUGUAGAGGUGAAAUUCGUAGAGAUGCGCAAGAACACCGGUGGCGAAGGCGAUUUCCUGGCUUAGGACUGACGCUAAGGCGCGAAAGCGUGGGGAGCAAA